GGAAUUUUGCGCAAUGGGCGAAAGCCUGACGCAGCAACGCCGCGUGAGUGAUGAAGGCCUUCGGGUCGUAAAGCUCUGUCAGAGGGGAAGAACCACCUGUCGGUUAAUAUCCGGCAGGCCUGAAGGUACCCUCAAAGGAAGCACCCGCUCACUCCGUGCCAGCAGCCGCGGUACUACGGAGGGUGCAAGCGUUGUUCGGAAUUAUUGGGCGUAAAGCGCGUGUAGGCGGUCUGUUAAGUCUGAUGUGAAAGCCCCGGGCUCAACCCGGGAAGUGCAUUGGAAACUGGCCGACUUGAGUACGGGAGAGGGUAGUGGAAUUCCGAGUGUAGGGGUGAAAUCCGUAGAUAUUCGGAGGAACACCGGUGGCGAAGGCGGCUACCUGGACCGAUACUGACGCUGAGACGCGAAAGCAUGGGGAGCGAAC
This 424-nucleotide ribosomal RNA is filed under the name uncultured bacterium. RNAcentral's name for it is "bacterial SSU rRNA". It matches the Rfam family "Bacterial small subunit ribosomal RNA", at positions 358 to 773 of the family's 1533-position model. The record is from RNAcentral.